Hyla sarda is the source of this 1099-nucleotide long non-coding RNA. RefSeq lists it as uncharacterized. The transcript is spliced from 2 exons. The record is from RefSeq and is a predicted model, not a curated record. NCBI's taxonomy places the organism in Eukaryota, Metazoa, Chordata, Amphibia, Anura, Hylidae.
GACUGGAAGAUCUGAAAGGUGCUGGAGAGAAGCAGCAACAUUUUAAACUACCUUGUGAUUGCAAUCCCUGAGCGGAGCUGCAAACAUUUGCGCUGACAAUACGAGAUGACAAAUAAGGCAAGAUCGUGGUGCAGGGGAACGAGUGGGGUAGUUUGUUCAUUUCCAUGACAAUGCUGGGAACACAGUUGGAAGCUGCAUUUCUUUGCCUGGUGCACUUCUCUUCAGCAAUCAGCCCUACCAGCCCAGAGCCUUAAGUGUGUGCAUUUGUCUCUGAUUGUGUAGGGAAAAUGUUCUAUUACAAAUUCAGGCUGUUCGUGUGUCCAGAACAACUACACCUCUGGGGUCCCCUUUUAACUGUUUCCACUCCGAGCCAGCCAACGUUGAGAGGAAAUUGUCAUCUGCUUACUAAUUGGACACCUUUCCUAUGUGAGAUAGCAGUGUAUCAUCUUCUUCACAGUGAGAACUUGACACAUAUUAGUUUCCAUGCUUAGAAGAGUGUGUAAAAUUAGAAUAGCUUUUGUCCCUGACUUGUAGGCCUGCAAGUUUUAUAUCCGAAAAAGUUUGAUUACACAUCUGACCUUGUUACAAGGGUGUUCGCCACCUUCACCCUUAGGGCACGUUCACACGUACGCAGAUUUGAUACGCAGGAUUUGAUGCACAGGAUUUUCUGCUGCAGAUUUCAAUGUUUUAAUUAUUAUUUUUUAUAUAAAUUUAUAUAUAUAUAAAUAUUUAUUAUUUAUGUUAUUAUUAGUUUUUAUUAGAUUAGUUAUUAUUAGAUACACCCCAUUUAUUUCUAACAGCAGUAGUUACUGUAGUAGACAGUGGCUGUUUUAUACUAUUGAUUCUUAUAAUUUGGCAGACUUGGCACAUGUCUAAGGCGUUCAUUUCUAAGGGGUUGCAUGUCUAAUCUAAACUAAAUGACUGGGCACAACUUCUAAUCUGCAGUUACAAAUCCUGCGCAUCAAAUCUGCGCAGGAUCCUGUAUGUGUCAACGCACCCUUAAUAAAUAUUUUACUGUAUUAUCCUGUAUAAUAAAUUGUUAGCUUGUUACUUGUAAUGAUUUAUACACCCCACUGUCUUAAUAAAUUAUUUACAAUGA